GAUGGAGGGGGAUAACUACUGGAAACGGUAGCUAAUACCGCAUAACGUCGCAAGACCAAAGAGGGGGACCUUCGGGCCUCUUGCCAUCGGAUGUGCCCAGAUGGGAUUAGCUAGUAGGUGGGGUAACGGCUCACCUAGGCGACGAUCCCUAGCUGGUCUGAGAGGAUGACCAGCCACACUGGAACUGAGACACGGUCCAGACUCCUACGGGAGGCAGCAGUGGGGAAUAUUGCACAAUGGGCGCAAGCCUGAUGCAGCCAUGCCGCGUGUAUGAAGAAGGCCUUCGGGUUGUAAAGUACUUUCAGCGA
RNAcentral lists this ribosomal RNA (308 nucleotides) under Citrobacter sp. Cf115. RNAcentral describes it as "bacterial SSU rRNA". It matches the Rfam family "Bacterial small subunit ribosomal RNA", at positions 132 to 442 of the family's 1533-position model. The record is from RNAcentral. Lineage: Bacteria; Pseudomonadati; Pseudomonadota; Gammaproteobacteria; Enterobacterales; Enterobacteriaceae.